ACACUUCCAUCAAACAGUACCUGCCCCUUAGGUGUGCUAGGGAAUAAAUGAAAUGCCUGGGACAUCAUCGUUAAGUGGCAUCUGAUGCAUAAGCAGUGCCCUAGGAAUGGGGUUGCCUGCCUUGGUCUCUAAAGGAUGGGUUCAAAAGGCAAGAGCAGCACACAAGAAGAUAGCUUCAAGCAGGAGAUAAAGCUUGGCCCAGGGCCCAAAGGGGAUACGACCCUUCAGCAAACUGACAUGCUGAAAGCUGCCCUAUGGAGAGGCUCAUGUGGCAAGGAACAGAGGGUGGCUUCUGGCCAACACCCAGUGAGGAACUCAGGCCCUCAGUCAAACAGCCUGCAAGGAACUGAACCCUGCCAAUAACCAGGCAGUGUCAGCCCCCGGCCAAUGACCACCAUGGACCUCCCUGUAGUUGAACAAAGUUGGGUUUGCUGACUGGUGGCAGUGAGGGAGAAUGCACACCACAGGGAGCUGUGCAGUGUCUCAGUAAGAAGCCAGGAGCCAUCCCGUGAGGCCGUUACUGCAAACAAGCUGAAAAUCCUGCUUUGUUUCUUUUGGACACAACAUGCUUUCCUUCAGCUUCAGUAGACGAUGAGGCCAGCACCACAUGGGCUAGAUGUACAUGAGAUGUGAGCAACCACACUUCCCCUCUGACGGGGACAGACAGCAUCACAGGACAUGAAGUUCUAAGAGGUUCAGUGACUUGUCUAAGAUUAAACAGCUAUGAAUGGAGAACUGGAGGCAAAUGAGGAUUCCCCAUUAAUGCCAUGAGUUCACUGCAGAGGUCAACACUGGGCAUACACUUCAAUCAUCCAUAAAGAAAAAUGGAGGCCUCAUCAUCUCUCACCUGGGCAACUGCAACAAUGAGCAGUUUGUGUCUGUGCCUGCAUCCAUCCUUCCAUCCUGUACUCCAGCAGCAGCCAGGGUGGUCUUUCAAAAAUGCAAAGCUGAUAAUGUUACUCCCCUGCUGUAAACCUUCCAGCGGUUUCCUAUUGCCUUCAGAAUAAAAUACGAAUCAUCUGGCCUCCA
Molecule: long non-coding RNA, 1029 nt
Filed under: Homo sapiens (human)
Lineage: Eukaryota; Metazoa; Chordata; Mammalia; Primates; Hominidae
Description: CSMD2 antisense RNA 1
Source: RNAcentral